This 329-nucleotide ribosomal RNA is filed under the name uncultured eukaryote. RNAcentral's name for it is "bacterial SSU rRNA". It matches the Rfam family "Eukaryotic small subunit ribosomal RNA", at positions 592 to 956 of the family's 1831-position model. The record is from RNAcentral.
CAAUAGCGUAUAUUAAAGUUGUUGCGGUUAAAAAGCUCGUAGUUGGAUUUCUGUUGAGGACGGCCGGUCCGCAUUAUGUGCGUGUAUCUGGUUCGGCCUUGGCAUCCUCCAGGGGAACGUUCCUGCGCUUCACUGCGUGGGACGGUAUUCUGGACUUUUACUUUGAGGAAAUUAGAGUGUUCACGGCAGGCAGUCGCCUUGAAUAUAUUAGCAUGGAAUAAUAAUAUAGGACCUUGAUUCUAUUUUGUUUGGUUUCUUAGAAUUUAGGUUAAUUAGAUUAAUUAAGGGACGAAUUAGGGGGUCGGAUUUGUUAUUUAACUAACGUACCA